RNAcentral lists this ribosomal RNA (254 nucleotides) under uncultured prokaryote. Its description in RNAcentral is "partial 16S ribosomal RNA". It matches the Rfam family "Bacterial small subunit ribosomal RNA", at positions 524 to 777 of the family's 1533-position model. The record is from RNAcentral.
UACGGAGGAUGCAAGCGUUAUCCGGAUUUAUUGGGUUUAAAGGGUGCGCAGGUUGUUUGAUAAGUCAGUGGUGAAAGUCUGUCGCUUAACGGUAGGAUUGCCAUUGAUACUGUUGGACUUGAAUAUGGAUGAGGUAGGCGGAAUGUGUAGUGUAGCGGUGAAAUGCAUAGAUAUUACACAGAACACCGAUUGCGAAGGCAGCUUACUAAUCCAUCAUCGACGCUGAGGCACGAAAGCGUAGGGAUCAAACAGGA